Molecule: ribosomal RNA, 263 nt
Filed under: Salmonella enterica
Lineage: Bacteria; Pseudomonadati; Pseudomonadota; Gammaproteobacteria; Enterobacterales; Enterobacteriaceae
Also listed under: 1 other name
Description: partial 23S ribosomal RNA
Rfam family: Bacterial large subunit ribosomal RNA
Source: RNAcentral
GGUUAAGCGACUAAGCGUACACGGUGGAUGCCCUGGCAGUCAGAGGCGAUGAAGGACGUGCUAAUCUGCGAUAAGCGCCGGUAAGGUGAUAUGAACCGUUAUAACCGGCGAUUUCCGAAUGGGGAAACCCAGUGUGACUCGUCACACUAUCAUUAACUGAAUCCAUAGGUUAAUGAGGCGAACCGGGGGAACUGAAACAUCUAAGUACCCCGAGGAAAAGAAAUCAACCGAGAUUCCCCCAGUAGCGGCGAGCGAACGGGGAG